Molecule: ribosomal RNA, 492 nt
Filed under: uncultured bacterium
Lineage: Bacteria
Description: partial 16S ribosomal RNA
Rfam family: Bacterial small subunit ribosomal RNA
Source: RNAcentral
AGUGAACGCUGGCGGUAGGCCUAACACAUGCAAGUCGAACGGCAGCACAGUAAGAGCUUGCUCUUACGGGUGGCGAGUGGCGGACGGGUGAGGAAUACAUCGGAAUCUACUUUUUCGUGGGGGAUAACGUAGGGAAACUUACGCUAAUACCGCAUACGACCUACGGGUGAAAGCAGGGGAUCUUCGGACCUUGCGCGAUUGAAUGAGCCGAUGUCGGAUUAGCUAGUUGGCGGGGUAAAGGCCCACCAAGGCGACGAUCCGUAGCUGGUCUGAGAGGAUGAUAAGCCACGCUGGAACUGGGCCACGGUCCAGACUCCUACGGGAGGCAGCAGUGGGGAAUAUUGGGCAAUGGGGGCAAGCCUGAUCCAGUCAUCCCGCGUGGGUUAAGAAGGCCUUCGGGUUGUAAAGCCCUUUUGUUGGGAAAGAAAAGCAGCAGGUUAAUACCCCGCUGUUCUGACGGUACCCAAAGAAUAAGCACCGGCUAACUUCGUG